GACGAACGCUGGCGGCGUGCUUAACACAUGCAAGUCGAGCGGAAAGGCCUCUUUCGGGGGGUACUCGAGUGGCGAACGGGUGAGUAACACGUGAGUAACCUGCCCUUGACUUUGGGAUAACUUCAGGAAACUGGGGCUAAUACCGGAUAGGAGCUCCUGCUGCAUGGUGGGGGUUGGAAAGUUUCGGCGGUUGGGGAUGGACUCGCGGCUUAUCAGCUUGUUGGUGGGGUAGUGGCUUACCAAGGCUUUGACGGGUAGCCGGCCUGAGAGGGUGACCGGCCACAUUGGGACUGAGAUACGGCCCAGACUCCUACGGGAGGCAGCAGUGGGGAAUAUUGCACAAUGGGUGGAAGCCUGAUGCAGCAACGCCGGGUGCGGGAGGACGGCCUUCGGGUUGUAAACCGCUUUCGCUCAUGACGAAGCUUUGUGUGACGGUAGUGGGUAAAGAAGCACCGGCUAACUACGUG
RNAcentral lists this ribosomal RNA (467 nucleotides) under uncultured bacterium. Its description in RNAcentral is "partial 16S ribosomal RNA". It matches the Rfam family "Bacterial small subunit ribosomal RNA", at positions 28 to 507 of the family's 1533-position model. The record is from RNAcentral.